GUACCCCCUGUCCUGACCCCACCGUGACCUUUCCCCCCCCCGGUUUCCUCCCCCCGCAGGUCUCCGGGCCCGACCCCGGGCUCCCCGAGCGCCUCCGGCUCUUCCAGCGGCUGCGGGCGGCGCAGGAGCGACGGGACGGGACCGGGGAUGGCACCCAGGGAGGUCCCUUCCCUCCCGGCACCCCCAUCCGCAUCGCCCUCCCCGGGGGGGGCCGCCUGCCCGGCCGCGCCCUCCAGACCACCCCCUUCCAGGUGGCCGCGCAGCUCGGGGGUGGCCUGGCGGAGGUGGCCCUGGUGGCCCGGGUGAACGGGACCCUGCAGGACCUGGACCAACCCCUGGAGCGCGACACCCACCUGGAGCUGCUGGACUUCUCCACGCCGGAGGGACGGGCCGUGAGUCCCCGGGGCGGCGGGGGGGGGUGACGUGUCCCCAACGACCCUCACAACCUGUCCCCCCCUCUUUAUGUGUGUCCCCCCCCCCCAUUUUUGUGUCCCCCUCCCCAGGCUUUCUGGCGCUCGGGCGCCUGCGUCCUGGGGGCGGUGGCCCAGGAGUUUUACGGGGCCACCUUCUGCGGCGCCCGGGCCACCGAGGACGGCUUCUACUGUGACAUCCACAUGGGGGACAGGUAAGGGGGGGACACACGGACGGACACACACAUGGGGGGGUCCCUUGGGGACCUGUCACCCCCCCCCACUUCUUCCUCCUCCUCCUCCUCCUCCUCCUCCUCAGGACGGUGCAGCGCCACGAGCUGCCGGCGCUGGAGGAGGCUUGUGUGGCUUUCGCCCGGGCCGGCCACCGCUUCGAACGGCUGGAAGCCACUCGUCACCAGUUGGGACAGCUCUUCAAGGACAACACCUUCCAGCUGCAGCAGGCGGAGGACGUCACCUCCACGUCCCCUACGGCCACCGUCUAUAGGUGAGCUGGGGGGGCGGGGGGGGACACAGGGGGGUGGCUCCGGGGUUUUGGGGGGUGUGUCGUCCCCCCCCCCGUGGUGUCCCCACGUCUGUCCCCAUGUCCCUCUGUCUGUCUGUCUGUGUCCCCCCCCCCGCAGGUGUGGCCCCCUCCUCCAGCUCUGCCGCGGCCCCCUCCUCCGGCACACGGGGCUCAUCGCCGCCCUCCGCCUCCUGACGGUGGGUCGAGAUGUGGGGCGGGGGUAGGGGUCUGCGCCCCACUGAUUUUUUUUUUU
This is a long non-coding RNA of Calidris pygmaea (Spoon-billed sandpiper), 1186 nucleotides long. NCBI's taxonomy places the organism in Eukaryota, Metazoa, Chordata, Aves, Charadriiformes, Scolopacidae. The record is from Ensembl.